Molecule: ribosomal RNA, 482 nt
Filed under: uncultured bacterium
Lineage: Bacteria
Description: partial 16S ribosomal RNA
Rfam family: Bacterial small subunit ribosomal RNA
Source: RNAcentral
AUUGAACGCUGGCGGCAUGCUUUACACAUGCAAGUCGAACGGUAACAGCACUUCGGUGGCUGACGAGUGGCGAACGGGUGGGUAAUACAUCGGAACGUGCCUAGCAGUGGGGGAUAACUACUCGAAAGAGUAGCUAAUACCGCAUGAGAUCUAAGGAUGAAAGCAGGGGACCUUCGGGCCUUGCGCUACUAGAGCGGCUGAUGGCGGAUUAGGUUGUUGGUGGGAUAAACGCUUACCAAGCCGACGAUCUGUAGCUGGUCUGAGAGGACGACCAGCCACACUGGGACUGGAACGCGGCCCAUGCUCCUGCGGGAGGCAGCAGUGGGGUAUGUUGGACAAUAGGCGGAAACCUGAUCCAGCAAUGCCACGUGCAAGGUAGAGGCCUUCGGGUUGUAAACUGCUUUUGUACGGAACGAAAAGCCCUCUUCUAAUACGAGGGGGUCAUGACGGUACCGGAAGAAUAAGCACCGGCUAACUACGUG